Molecule: long non-coding RNA, 6249 nt
Organism: Harpia harpyja (harpy eagle)
Lineage: Eukaryota; Metazoa; Chordata; Aves; Accipitriformes; Accipitridae
Exons: 3
Source: RefSeq, a predicted model, not a curated record
AAGAGGUACAUAUUGUGUCAGUUUAAGCCCACAUAUGCCAGUACCCCACCACAUUCUCUUUAUCUUCACUUGCUCUACAGGUUCUGAGUUGAUCCCACAGAGAGAGCCAACACAGCCCUCCUGUUUUUCACCCCCUCUAUGUCUUAACUCUAUACUUGUGAGAAAAAUAAAUAGGAUAUAAAAGGGUAUCUGUCAGGUGGCAGGAUCCAUCUAUUGAACUAACAGUACCCAUCGAUCUGUGCAGGAUGCAUCAACUCAAAACCACUAGUUCCAGAGCAGCAGGGAAUCUGAGAUGCCGUAUUUGCCCCCCACAGGUUUUUCCAGCUGUAUCAUUUUUGAACUGAGGAAUUACUAAGGGCUCGUACGAGGGAGUGAAGAUAAAGGAUGUGAAGGGAAGGCAUGGGGGAAGCCUCCAUUCCAGAAUAGUGUUUGAAAGGGAUGUCCAAAGAAACAGGACGUAGCAAGUGGAGGAGAAGCCUGGGGAGAGUACAAAGGCAAUGUGAAACAGCAUGAAACAUGUUAUGGAAAAGAGAGAGAAAAGAAGCUGUCAGAUAAGAAGAAUGAAAAAGUACUAGGCAAAGUUAGGAGGACGUUAGAGCAGAGAUAUGGACAAAAUAAAAAUUCCUGAUAGCCAUGAAUAUGGGGGAGAAGUGUUCAAUUUGCGUCAAUGUACAGGGCUCGUCAGCCAAUGACUUUGGUUGAAAUGUAAUUUCUAAGUAUCUGUCAGCUGUAGUUAGUGGUAAUAAUGAGGAUGUAAGAGCUGGACAAAGCAUGAUGGGAAAAGAAAGAGGAUAAAAUAGGCUCUGGUGUUUGUCUCUUAAUUUUAUCUGUUUUCUGUGUGUUGGCUCAUUAGGAAUCCUGCCUGCCCGCCAAGAGAGAAACCAUUUUGGUUUUGCAUAGUUGCAGCCAUAUGGGGGAAAAGAGAUACAGUGUCCUCCCUGAAAAAUUUUGUUUUCUCUCUAAUGUAAGAUAAGAUAUUUUGGGCACACCGUGCUGUUUGCAUGGAAAUAUUACAGUUGAGGAGUUAAAUGGCAGAAACAAAUGGAAUAAUAAGCUUGAGGAAAGUAGUCUGGUUGGCAGCUUAUUGGAGGUUUUGGUUAGUAGUUAAAACAAUCCAAAGGCUUCUAGUACCACAAGCGUCUUUCUUUUCUUUUUGGUUUAUUUGUGAUGAGAGAAGAAUGACAGAAAAGAUCCAAUUUUAAAUUUCCAACAUACUUACAUUUUUUUCUCUUGUGUUUGGAAUGGUAAUUUAUUAAGUGACACCGAAGCAGGCUUGCCACUGGGGGAAUGGCACACUGCAGCUCUCGCUAUCCAUCGGACAAAGGCUCCAAGCUAUAAUUUGCAUAGGAGCUCUUAUACAAAAUGCCACAAAUAAAUAACACGAUGUGGGGAUGGCUGAGAGCAAGAAGUUGCCACAGUCCAAACCUCCCAGAGCUAGAGGAGAAAUCUGGCUGAAGGAUGCUUCGUUUAAACAAGGGAGAGAAUACUUCUCAUACUGGAGCAGCCUGCCAGGAACCGUAAGAAUCAGUUUAUUAUUGCUAGAUUGAUCUAAAAUGAGGAUAAGAAAAUUACGGAGCAGAGUUGUUCCAAGCACUAUAGGUGGCUUGUGUGUCUUGACACUGUCAUAUGGCCUGGAAUAUGGAAUGAGAAGUGUAGCUGUUGUGUUAGUCAGGAGCUUCCAACCCCAGACCUGCUUUCAGGAACCUUCAACAAGCCCCCUUCCAGAUGCAUUUGUCAAACCGGUGAGUGGAGAAGUUACAAAGUUCACUGAAGAAUUAGGGCCUUAAGCCUAUUCUUUACAUCCACCUGAUCUGCCCGUAAAAAUUUUAGUAAAUAGCUGUGUGUGAACAGGGCUUGGACAAUCUAAAGCAUUCAUGGAGCUAGGGAUGUACUCCACAAAAGAGAGGUGUGACCAUUGCAUGUGAGGGUGUACCCAUGCCAGCUUGAAGUUACCUGAUAAAGAUACUAGCAGUGAUGAGGUUGCUACAUUGCGGGACUCGGUGCAGACGAAGAAUCUCAAAAAGGUCUCGGUGUCCUCAGCAGGUGUGCACAGCCCAUGGGGAAGCCCAAACCACUGGUGCUCCUCUACGACCUGCCUGCUGGCUUACACUUGCAGUUUUACUUGCAGCGCAGAUUAAUCUGUGUGUUAAAAAUCCCCCAAACUAUAGCAAUCUUAGGAUUGCCCUGUAAAUAUCAAAAAGUAAGGACGUGCCGUGGCUGUCACAGCAAUAUUGUCCUAGCUACAUUGUGCAUUCCCAAAAUUGUCUGGCUUUCAAGUGAACCGCAUAGAUAACUAUACUUUUAUGUCUGGCAUCAAGUCUAUGGGAGGUUUCCUGCAAUGUUUACUCAGAUCCUCUAAGACUUAGAGUAUGAUGUUUUCUUCGUUUUUAAUUUUUGUUUUCAACCAUAACUCUAUUGAUAAAGAAAGAAACCAGAAGGAAGAGAUGUGUUAGUUAACACACUAGGCUGUGUUAGUUUAACAGGCAGAAAUGUGUAAGAACUGUCAGUAUUCAACCACCUUUCUUCAGCCAGGCAGUGGGAUCACAAUAAUUGGGGAAUCUCUGUGAUAACUAUUACACCAUUUGUCACCAGUAGUGUCCCUGUGUGACCCCACAGGAUGAAUUAGUGAUAGAAAAUCCUCCUUUCACUUUCAGGUGCCCUCAUCCAAAAUUUAAACCUGCCAUGCCUUCCACAGCUGCAAUCUCACCCUUGAGGCUUCUGAAACAUGGCUAAAUUCCCAAUUUCAUGCAUGCAGGCUGAGCUUUGCAAGAGCUGUGUUCCUUCACCUGGAGUCCAUCCUGCAUGGUGGGCACUCUCUGAACAUACCCGUGAGACCUGGCCUAGAAGGAAAAUAAACAAAAAAGACAAAGACAGGCAUGACUGCAGUAUAGCCUGAGCACAUGGCUGAGACACUCAGCGGCCGGCUUACAUCCCUUUUUCCUGAUUUAGAACAAGGAUUUGAACCUCAGCAACUCAACUCUCAAGAAAGCACCAGGGUGGCAUUUCCUUUUUCUGUUUUUACACUUCCUAAAUGUUUUUUGGAGCAGGUCUACCCUAGCAAGUUUGAAAGUUGUUCCCUUAUAAUCAAUGUUUAAGUGCUUUAUUCAAAGCAAACCAGCUAUCUCUAACAAAAAGAAACUAUUAAUUGAGAAGCCAGUAACCCAAACGCAAAUACUUUCUAUACCUUGUAUACAAAACAGUGCAGUUUAUGGAAAGGUUUUGGUUUAACCAAAACUCCUCAGCAGUGUAAACAGGGCAACAAAGUGGAUUUAUUUUGACUGAGGUAUCAGCUAGUGAUAUCUGAGACAUAUGAGAUAUCUGCAAUGGGAAUCAUUCUUAGCAUAGCUAUGCUAAUUGCUAACUUCAGGUGGUUGGCUCAGAGUGGCUUUCUUCUAUGAUUUGUUUGAACAUUUUACACAGUAUUGCAGGAUUUUUCUUAUAUGUCCACAGUCUCCUGCUGGACAUGUAUGACAUACAUAGGUUGGGGUUUUUUUUAACUAAAAAUAUUAAUUUAUAUUCAUUAGCUGCUCUGGCAUGUUUUAUCUGUUAAGGUACUACGUGCUUUUAUGAAAUCUUUCUGCUUCUAGAGUAUCUUGCUGGAAAAUUGAAAAAGCAAAUAAUAAAAAUGAAUAAACUUCUCAGUCAAUAUUGUAUACAUUACAGUGUCAAAUGCAAAAAACAUUUGUAGACAAUUUGGGAUUUAACUAAACAUGCUGCAGCUACCUCAGCCAAAUUUCUGACCCACUAUAAACAGACCCUACCAGGUUAGAUGUUAAAAUAAUAUUUGUCAUGUAAUUUUGAUAUGGCCUCUGUUCUGCUGGAUCUGGGGUUGUAUGUUCAUGACAGCUUAUCAACCUGGUUAAGUUGUCCACAGCCAGGCGCAGAUUUUCUGUCCUUGGUCUUCCUAAGCAGUCUCAGGCCUGUGUCCAUCUCGCUUGGCCUUUCUGUGCCAGCUCAGAAGAACCACCACUCGUUUCUCCAGUUCAAGAGAGGCAUGGAUUUACUGGAGUGGGUCCAGCAAAGGGCCACAAGGAUGAUUCAGGGACUGGAGCAUCUCAUGUAUAAGGAGAGGCUGAGAGAGCUGGGACUGUUCAGCCUGGAGAAGAGAGGGCUUAUGGGGAUCCUAUCCAUGUGUAUAAAUAAAUACCUGAUGGGAGGGAAUGAAGAAGAGGGAGCCAGACUUCGCAGGGGUGCCCAGUGACAGGGUGAGAGGCAAUGGUCACAAGUUAAAAAACAUUAAAUUCAAUCUGAACACAAAAAAAUGCUUUUUUACUCUGAGGGUGGUCGAACACUGGCACAGGUUGCCCAGAGAGUUUGUGGAGUCUCCCUCCUCAGAGAUACUCAAAAGCCAUCUAGGCAACCAGCUCUAGGUGUCCCUGCUUGAGCAGGGGGGUUGGAGCAGAUGGCCUCCAGAGGUCCCUUCCAACCUCAGCCAUCCUGUGGUUCUGUCAUAAUCCCCUUGUAUGUGAGAGUGCUGAAUGGAAAUGUCCCAGUAGCAAAUUGCGCAACUUGCCUGUGUUUAAUGAAAACGUAUGACACGGCCAUGCAGCUAUGCCAGAGCUAAAGUCAGGCCCCAGAACUUGCUAGGAGUGUAUUCUCCAAGGUUGGCAUGAUAUGCUCCCUCUUGUCUUGGACAGAGGUCCAAGAUCUCCACUAGUACAAACCACCCGCACAAGGACAAUAGUUGGGAAUGUCCAAAAUAAAUUGCUCCCAGCAACAGCAACAUGAAUGUGGCCAGGAUCUGGCGCAGGACUGGCCAAGGCUGAGUUCUGAUGAAGGUCUGGAAGAAAGUUUGGUUUGAUGGGUCCUCUGGAGACAGAGGAGUAUCCUGCUUCUGUUGUGAGCAUCUGAGUCAUACCCUGGGCAUGAACUUGAAUGGAAGGGAUUCUGGAGGAAUCAUCUUCAUUCAACGGUAGUUUGCAUUUUGCAUUUCUCAGGAGAGAGGUGUAAUGUAAGAAUGACAUAUGACUAGACUGAGUGAGUGAGAAAACAAUCAGUGGUAUGGAGAUGUCUGCUCUAAGUCUUGCCAGCAGAGUUUCAUGCUUCUACUCUAUCGCUACUAUUACCACUGGUAAGAAAGAAAAUUUGCUGCCUUCCCACCUCGUAAGUUUAGGAUUAGUUCUUCAAAAGUUCUCCAUAUUCCUCUUUAAUAAUGGCUGAUUUUACAGUUGUGGUUUUCCUUUCUUUUGGCAGCUGCUGGGUGCACUGCUGCUGGCUGGGCAACAGCUCCUGCUCUGUGUCCCCUCCACAGACAAUGUAUUUGCCUUUCUCCAGACCUCUUCCAAACAGGCAGUGGGCAGUUUGGAUAAAAAGUUUGAGAAUGCUUCUGUCAGAGACGGUCUCGGCCUUUCCCAUUUGCUGGUUUGAGGUAGAAGCAAAGCUCUGUUCCUCCAGGAUCUUUGAAAUGGAGCUAAAUGGUGCCACUGAGUUCAAAGCCUCCAGACACACCCAGAAAUGAAGUUGUAUUAGUGGGGAGGUCCUGAUACCACUGUUUACACAAAGGACUCCGAGACUCAUCUCCAGGUAACUGUUGUAGACUCAAAGCCCCAUGACUAUGGGUUUGUAGACCUGAAAACGGUAAAGGAGAUCAGUCUCUGGGGUCCUCGUAAACGUGUAGUUAACACCUCUCUUUGAUUUCCCCUUCCUCUUGUAGUCUGUUCUCACUUGCAUUGCAGCUUGGGAGGAUCUGUAGGGUGGUGGUAUGCUUUUUAUUUCUGCAUCAGAAAAUUGUAACCAUGUACUCUAAAGGUACUGCUGGUGCAAAAAGUCUCAGCUGUCUGUGGCGCACAACCUGUCACAUGAAGUUAGAGUGGAUAUGGGGACUACACAUCCUGGAGAACACCAGUUGCCAGUAAACAUCCUCCACUAAAAUAAAUUAGGGCCUCUGUUGCAACAAGUUUUAUAUAUAUAUAUAUACACAUCUGUAUAUCUAUCUCCUUUGGAAAGUUUCACUGUGUAAGUAGAUUGGGGUAAAUAAAGACCACAAACCACAUAUAUACAUGCCUCAUUUUUUGCACUCUUUCCCAUAGCAUCCAUGCCAAAUCCACUCGGAGACCACUGACACUGAGCUAGACCGACCUUGACUGACCUAGUUCUUAGGUCUGUGUUAAUUAGUUGACAGGUCACACCUCUGUAAUUCUUAGAUUAUGACAAUGCUGAAAGGUGCAGUUGCUCUGUAUAGCACAGUAGGAUCUCAUACACUGUAACCCCAUAAUGACAGUUAUAAUAAAGAUUUGACAUCAGAAGAUA